RNAcentral lists this ribosomal RNA (494 nucleotides) under uncultured bacterium. Its description in RNAcentral is "bacterial SSU rRNA". It matches the Rfam family "Bacterial small subunit ribosomal RNA", at positions 39 to 518 of the family's 1533-position model. The record is from RNAcentral.
AGCGACAGGCCUAACACAUAGCAAGUCGAGGGGGCAGGCACAAGGAGCAAUCUGAGGUGGCGACCGGCGGCACGGGUGAGUAACACGUAUGCAACCUGCCUGUAAGCGGGGAAUAACCCGUUGAAAGACGGACAAUAACCGCAUAAUACUAAAUUACUGCAUGGUAAUUUAUUUAAACAUUUAAUGGCUUACAGAUGGGCAUGCGCAUGAUUAGCUAGUUGGAGAGGUAACGGCUCCCCAAGGCAACGAUCAUUAGGGUUCUGAGAGGAAGGUCCCCCCACACUGGUACUGAGACACGGACCAGACUCCUACGGGAGGCAGCAGUGAGGAAUAUUGGUCAAUGGACGAGAGUCUGAACCAGCCAAGUCGCGUGCAGGAAGAAUGUCCUAUGGAUUGUAAACUGCUUUUGCAGGGGAAUAAAGUGCAUCACGUGUGAUGUUUUGUAUGUACUCUGCGAAUAAGGAUCGGAAAACUAACUCCGUGCCAGCCGCCGC